UGCCAGCCGCCGCGGUAAUCCGAAGGGACCUAGCGUAGUUCGGAAUUACUGGGCUUAAAGAGUUCGUAGGUGGUUAAAAAAGUUGGUGGUGAAAUCCCAGAGCUCAACUCUGGAACUGCCAUCAAAACUUUUUAGCUAGAGUAUGAUAGAGGAAAGCAGAAUUUCUAGUGUAGAGGUGAAAUGCGUAGAUAUUCGGAGGAACACCAAUUGCGAAGGCAGUUCACUGGACCGUGAUCGACGCUGAGGAGCGAAAGCUAGGGGAGCAAACAGGAUUAGAUA
Molecule: ribosomal RNA, 279 nt
Filed under: uncultured bacterium
Lineage: Bacteria
Description: partial 16S ribosomal RNA
Rfam family: Bacterial small subunit ribosomal RNA
Source: RNAcentral